This 73-nucleotide transfer RNA is filed under the name candidate division WOR-1 bacterium RIFCSPHIGHO2_01_FULL_53_15. RNAcentral's name for it is "tRNA-Ala". It matches the Rfam family "tRNA". From Rfam's summary of the family: Transfer RNA (tRNA) molecules are approximately 80 nucleotides in length. Their secondary structure includes four short double-helical elements and three loops (D, anti-codon, and T loops). RNAcentral also lists the same sequence under 1 other name. The record is from RNAcentral. Lineage: Bacteria; Bacillati.
GGGGCCGUAGUUCAGCUGGUAGAACGCCUGAUUUGCAUUCAGGAGGUCAGCGGUUCAACUCCGCUCGGCUCCA